This 2775-nucleotide ribosomal RNA is filed under the name Triticum aestivum (bread wheat). Its description in RNAcentral is "partial small subunit ribosomal RNA". Lineage: Eukaryota; Viridiplantae; Streptophyta; Magnoliopsida; Poales; Poaceae. The record is from RNAcentral.
AUGAGGAUCACCAAACAAUGCAACCUGCCACUUUCUUUGGGUAAGCAUUAUCGCUCAAAUGUGUUGUGUGAUGUGGUUGACAUGGAUGCCAGCCAUGUUCUUCUUGGGAGGCCUUGGCAAUUUGAUGUGGAUACUACACACAAGGGCAAGGAAAAUUCUUACUCUUUCAUUUGGAACAAGAGAAGGAUCAUUAUCUUACCAAACAAACCCGAAGGUAAUACCUCUAAGGAGGAGGGGAAAACUAUGUUAACUAUCUCCCAUACCUCUCAUGAGUUUAUGGAAGACUUGAAGGAGGCAGAUUUGUGUGCUGCACUUGUUGUAAAGGGAGAAGAGCACCUGACUGUUGAAAUUCCAACAAAGGUACGUGGUUUAUUGGCAGAAUUUCAGAACAUACUUGAGGAGCCACAUGGCUUGCCACCGAUGAGAGGAAUUCAACAUAGAAUUGACUUAAUUCCGGGAGCAAGUCUUCCUAAUCUUCCACACUAUCGAAUGAGCCCAAAGGAGCAUGGUAUAUUGAAGGAGAAAGUGGAGGAAUUGUUGCAAAAGGGGCACAUUCGAGAAAGUAUUAGCCCAUGUGCUGUACCAGCCCUACUCGCGCCAAAGAAAGAUGGAUCUUGGCGCAUGUGUACGGACAGUAGAGCCGUUAACAAGAUCACCAUAAGGUAUAGAUUCCCUAUUCCCCGUCUGGAUGAUAUGUUGGAUCAGCUUAGUGGAGCAAGAGUGUUCACAAAGCUAGAUUUAAGAAGUGGAUAUCAUCAAAUCCGUAUAAGACCCGGGGAUGAAUGGAAGACCGCCUUCAAGACAAAGGAAGGGUUGUUUGAAUGGCUAGUCAUGCCAUUUGGACUCUCAAAUGCACCAAGUACCUUUAUGCACUUAAUGAAUCAAGUCCUUAGACCCUUCUUAUCCCACUUUGUUGUGGUCUAUUUCGAUGACAUCUUGAUCUAUAGCAAGGAUGAGGAUGAACACUUUGAUCACAUUCGGAAGGUGCUAGAAGUACUAAGGGAAAAUGAGCUCUACGUCAACUUGAAGAAAUGUGUUUUCCUGCAAACACAACUUCUUUUCCUAGGAUUCGUCAUAACAUGUGACGGCAUUCGUGUUGAUGAUUCUAAGGUUGAAGCAAUCCGAGAAUGGCCAACUCCUAAGACCAUUUCUGAGGUAAGAAGCUUUCAUGGCCUUGCAACUUUCUAUAGGCGAUUUGUUAAGAAUUUCAGCACUAUCAUGGCACCAAUUACCGAGUGUUUGAAGAAAGGGAAGUUCCAAUGGGCAGAAGCAGCUGAAGCUAGCUUCAAUGAGAUUAAACAAAAGCUAUCACAAGCUCCUGUCUUGGUACUACCUGAUUUCAACAAGACUUUUGAGUUGGAGUGUGAUGCAAGUGGAGUAGGCAUUGGAGCUGUCCUAUCUCAAGAAAGGAAGCCCAUUGCUUUCUUUAGUGAGAAGUUAAGUGAAGCUAGACAGAAAUGGAGUACCCAUCAGCAAGAAUUAUACGCCGUUUUCAGAGCGUUGAAAACUUGGGAAGUCUAUUUGCUGCCUAAAGAGUUCAUUGUUUAUAGUGACCAUCAAUCCUUGAAGCAUUUUAGAAAUCAAAAGCAUGUUGACCGCAUGCUAGCAAGAUGGGCAGCAUAUCUUGAGAGGUUUAACUAUCUCAUCGUGCAUAAAUCUGGAAUAACUAACAGAGUGGCCGAUGCUUUGAGUCGUCGUGCAUGCCUCUUGACUUCUUUUGAAGCUGAACUUCCGGGCAUGGGUCAAAUAAAGGAGUUGUAUGAGGGUGACGAAGACUUUGGCCAUGUUUGGGUAAAGCACGCAAGGGGCCAACCAUUAGGUGAUGACUAUUUGAUGCAAGAUGGAUAUCUCUUCAAAAAUGAUCGUUUGUGCAUUCCAAGAAGUUCUUUACGUGACAAGCUGGUUAGAGAGCUCCAUUCAAGUGAUCUUAGUGGCCAUGUUGGACGGGACAAGACUAUCGCUAACCUGGAAGCUCGCUACUUUUGGCCACAACUAAAGAGAGAUGCUGGAAAGUUCGUUCAACGGCGCCCCGUAUGUCAGACCUGCAAAGGCCAAGUCCAGAACACAGGGUUAUACAUGCCUUUGCCUGUUCCUGUUGCUCCACGGGAGGACAUUUCUAUGGACUUCGUCUUGGGCUUGCCAAGAACAAGACGAGGAAGUGAUGCUGUAUUUGUGGUCGUGGAUAGAUUCUCUAAGAUGGCUCAUUUCAUCCCAUGCCGCAAGACAACGGAUGCUCAUCAUGUGGCAAACCUAUUCUUUCGAGAAGUGGUCAGACUUCAUGGAGUUCCAAGGUCCAUUGUCUCAGACCGUGAUAGCAAGUUUCUUGCUGCAUUUUGGCUCACUUUGUGGAAGCAAUUCAACACUGAAUUGAAAUUUUCUAGCACUGCUCAUCCACAAACAAAUGGACAAACGGAAGUGGUGAACAAGUUUUUGGGUAAUCUGAUCCGUUGCAUUUGUGGAGAAAGAAAGGGGCAAUGGGAUUUGGCUUUAUCUCUUGCAGAGUUCUCCUACAAUAACUCCAAGCAUAGAUCCACAGGAAGGAGCCCUUUUUCCAUUGUCUACACUAAAGUUCCAACACAUGUGGUGGACCUGGUGAAGCUGCCAUCAAGGGGAAACUCAAAAUCAGCAUUGUCCUUUGCUGAUAAUUACACCGAGUUAUUUGAAGAGAUUCGCGGCGCUUUGGAAGCACAAAAUCAGAAAUAUAAACAACUUGUUGAUUGCAAAAAGAGGCCAAAAUCAUUCCAAGUCGGUGAUAAGGUGAUGGUCUACCUCUGA